CAGGGAGAUCAAGAUGAAGUCACAGACCCAGGUCUUCUUAACCUUGCUGCUUUGGGUGUCUGGUGCCUGGGCAGACAUCGUGAUGACCCAGUCUCCAUCCUCCCUGGCUGUGUCAGAGGGAGAGAAAGUCACCAUCAGCUGCAGGUCCAGUCAGAGUCUUUUAGACAGUGGCAACCAAAAGAACUACUUGGCCUGGUACCAGCAGAAACCAGGGCAAUCCCCUAAGAGGCUGAUCUACUAUGCAUCCACGAGGCACACCGGGGUCCCUGAUCGCUUCACAGGCACUGGAUCUGGGACAGAUUUCACUCUCACCAUCAGCAGUGUGCAGAAUGAAGACCUGGCAGAUUACUACUGUCAGCAGCAUCUCAGUGCUCCUCCCACAGUGCUUCAGCCUCCAACAAAAACCUACGUGUGA
Molecule: non-coding RNA, 415 nt
Organism: Psammomys obesus (fat sand rat)
Lineage: Eukaryota; Metazoa; Chordata; Mammalia; Rodentia; Muridae
Source: the annotation of a RefSeq genome assembly